Cydia pomonella (codling moth) is the source of this 568-nucleotide long non-coding RNA. RefSeq lists it as uncharacterized. Lineage: Eukaryota; Metazoa; Arthropoda; Insecta; Lepidoptera; Tortricidae. The transcript has 3 exons. The record is from RefSeq and is a predicted model, not a curated record.
UUAGGCAAACACAAACAUUUUUUUUACAACGGACGCCCACGAGUAUUCCUCUGCGUUGAAGUCAUUGUUGAAGUUUGAAAACUCAUAAAGUUUUGUUUUGUGAGUGAAACCGUGAAUAAUACUAAAUAAAAAUGUGUGACAGUGAUCACAGUGAUGAAAAUAUGUUGCCCACUACUCCUCAGGAAAUAUUAAAGCCUUUUCCGUUUAUGUUGUUCCGUUGUUUGCUAUUUUGACAACUUGAAAAGUUUUAUCGGCAGUUUGCGUGUUAUUACUGUGAAGUGUUUGGCCAAACCGCCGCUACCACUUUUGAAAGGAUGCCACCCAAAAAUCCAAAAAUUCGCUCGAACGCUGCACAAAUUAGAUUGCUCGUUGAAUACAUGUCACAGCACACCCGGUUCGCCAACCGGGAAUUUGACGGGCCUCUAAGGACCCCAGAGGUACGAGGCGCAAUGGGAGGCCCUUGCACAGGCCUUAAGGGAGCACGGGCCCAAUAAGUCAGUGCAGGCAUGGAAAGUGGUGGGCACCUGCUCCCCGCUGGCGACACCCUUGCAGAAGCUAGCAUUUUCAG